This 429-nucleotide ribosomal RNA is filed under the name Chloroflexota bacterium. RNAcentral's name for it is "Chloroflexi bacterium partial 16S ribosomal RNA". It matches the Rfam family "Bacterial small subunit ribosomal RNA", at positions 355 to 776 of the family's 1533-position model. Lineage: Bacteria; Bacillati; Chloroflexota. RNAcentral also lists the same sequence under 1 other name. The record is from RNAcentral.
UAGGGAAUCUUCGGCAAUGGACGAAAGUCUGACCGAGCAACGCCGCGUGAGUGAAGAAGGUUUUCGGAUCGUAAAACUCUGUUGUUAGAGAAGAACAAGGACGUUAGUAACUGAACAUCCCCUGACGGUAUCUAACCAGAAAGCCACGGCUAACUACGUGCCAGCAGCCGCGGUAAUACGUAGGUGGCAAGCGUUGUCCGGAUUUAUUGGGCGUAAAGCGAGCGCAGGCGGUUUCUUAAGUCUGAUGUGAAAGCCCCCGGCUCAACCGGGGAGGGUCAUUGGAAACUGGGAGACUUGAGUGCAGAAGAGGAGAGUGGAAUUCCAUGUGUAGCGGUGAAAUGCGUAGAUAUAUGGAGGAACACCAGUGGCGAAGGCGGCUCUCUGGUCUGUAACUGACGCUGAGGCUCGAAAGCGUGGGGAGCAAACAGG